Molecule: small nucleolar RNA, 137 nt
Organism: Tachyglossus aculeatus (Australian echidna)
Lineage: Eukaryota; Metazoa; Chordata; Mammalia; Monotremata; Tachyglossidae
Source: RefSeq, a predicted model, not a curated record
CCCCUCUCGGGGUCGCGCCUGGAGAAUUUCUAGUACUCUACCAGUCUCAACUACAGGAGGGAGACUCAAGCAGAGGCAUACCCCUUCCAUUCCAGCUUGGGCAGUGGCUAGCGAGUGGAAGACAAUCUGCUAAAAGU